RNAcentral lists this ribosomal RNA (484 nucleotides) under uncultured bacterium. RNAcentral describes it as "partial 16S ribosomal RNA". It matches the Rfam family "Bacterial small subunit ribosomal RNA", at positions 30 to 507 of the family's 1533-position model. The record is from RNAcentral.
AUUGAACGCUGGCGGCAGGCCUAACACAUGCAAGUCGAGCGGAUGAAGGGAGCUUGCUCCUGGAUUCAGCGGCGGACGGGUGAGUAAUGCCUAGGAAUCUGCCUGGUAGUGGGGGAUAACGUCCGGAGACGGGCGCUAAUACCGCAUACGUCCUGAGGGAGAAAGUGGGGGAUCUUCGGACCUCACGCUAUCAGAUGAGCCUAGGUCGGAUUAGCUAGUUGGUGGGGUAAAGGCCUACCAAGGCGACGAUCCGUAACUGGUCUGAGAGGAUGAUCAGUCACACUGGAACUGAGACACGGUCCAGACUCCUACGGGAGGCAGCAGUGGGGAAUAUUGGACAACGGGCGAAAGCCUGAUCCAGCCAUGCCGCGUGUGUGAAGAAGGUCUUCGGAUUGUAAAGCACUUUAAGUUGGGAGGAAGGGCAGUAAGUUAAUACCUUGCUGUUUUGACGUUACCAACAGAAUAAGCACCGGCUAACUUCGUG